This 30-nucleotide non-coding RNA is filed under the name Homo sapiens (human). The record is from RNAcentral. Lineage: Eukaryota; Metazoa; Chordata; Mammalia; Primates; Hominidae.
UGAAAAGGUUUUCAGAAGGAGGCUGUGUUU